GGCCGAGUCGGGGCGCCCCUAGCGGCUCCUGCUUCACCCUCCGCCCGAGCCCGGAGCUGCUGCUGCGCUGUGUCCCUCCCCUUGGCCCUCAGCCGGCUCGGCCCCCUCACGCCGCCCCGCUCCAGCCGCCGCCGCCGCCGCAGCAUGAGGUUCUCCGCGCUCUGCCGACUAAGCCGGGGAGCCGCCGCCUCGCUAGCGGGCAGGAAGGGGCCCGCGCCGCUGCAAGCCGGCUCGCCCGCGACCCGCCGGGGCACGGCCAGCACUUGGGGCCGCUGGGAGAAGCAACAGGCUGGCGGCGGCGGGAGCUGCAGCGCGCGGGGCUCGGCGGCCGGAGAAAUCAUUCAGAGUUCAAAGAAAGUCCUGGCAUCUUUGCAGAAAGGACACCCUACAUUUAUGCCGACGCUUGCCAUUGUACAGGCAAGUGAUGAAGAUUUGGUGCAAGAAAUAAACCAGAACUUUGCCAAAGAGAUUGGUCUGCACGUUAUUCACAUUUGCCUUCCUCAGGGUAGCAGUGAAGAUGAGAUUGUUGGUGAAAUCUUGAGACUCAAUGAAGAUCCUACGGUUCACGGCAUUGCCCUUCACCUCUCUGAAAAUGCAUACAGCACCAAAAUAUUAAAUGCAGUAAAACCAGAGAAGGAUGUGGAUGGAGUAUCAGAUGUAAACCUGGGACGGUUGGUGCGUGGAGAUACUUACAACUGUUCAGUUUCUCCCACUGCCAGCGCUGUGAUGGAGCUUCUUGACAAAAUAGCAGUUAAAACCAUAGAUGGAAAGAAGGUGUUACUAGUGGGAACUUGUGGGCCUCUGGAAGCCUCUUUGCAGUGCCUGCUUCAGAGAAAAGGUGCCAUGACUAUGAGCUGCCAGUGGAAAACACAGCAACUUCAGAGCAAGCUUCAUCAGGCAGAUGUGGUGGUGGUUGGCAGUACCAAACCUAAGGAGAUUCCAGUCAGUUGGAUAAGGCCUGGAACAACCAUUGUCAGUUGUUAUCCUGACUUUUUAUCAGGGGAACAUGGUUAUGGUCAAGAUUUAAAGUACAGUAACCAGUCUGCUGUAGAGGCUGUAGGUCCUCUGGCAAUAGCAGUGCGGAUGCAGAACAUGGUAAAAACCAGCGAGAGAUGGAUCCAGUCUCAGCAAUACAGGGAAUGGAACCUCCAUUGCUUGAAACUUCAGCCCCUCUCCCCAGUGCCCAGUGAUAUUGAGAUUUCCCGAGGACAGAGUCCAAAAGCUGUUGAUGUACUUGCCAAGGAGAUAGGAUUGCUUGCAGAUGAAAUUGAAAUCUAUGGCCAAACCAAAGCCAAAGUACGUUUGUCCCUGCUGGAAAGGUUAAAGGAUCAACCAGAUGGAAAAUACGUUCUAGUUGCUGGGAUAACACCUACACCUCUUGGAGAGGGGAAAAGCACUGUCACGAUUGGUCUUGUUCAAGCUCUAACUGCACAUCUUAAUGUGAAUUCCUUUGCAUGUCUGAGACAACCUUCCCAGGGACCUACUUUUGGAGUUAAAGGUGGGGCUGCUGGAGGUGGAUAUGCUCAAGUCAUUCCAAUGGAAGAGUUCAACCUUCAUUUGACUGGAGAUAUCCAUGCUAUUACUGCUGCUAAUAAUUUGCUGGCUGCUGCUAUUGAUGCGAGGAUCUUGCAUGAAAGCACUCAGUCUGAUAAGGCUUUGUAUAAUAGGCUGGUUCCAGUAGUUAAUAGUGUGAGAGAAUUUUCUUCUAUUCAGCUUGCCCGCUUAAAAAGGUUGGGGAUAAACAAGACAGAUCCAGGCACUUUAACAGCAGAUGAGAUUAGUAAAUUUGUACGCCUUGAUAUUGACCCAUCUACCAUAACAUGGCAAAGAGUAUUGGAUACAAAUGACCGAUUCCUAAGAAAAAUAACAGUUGGGCAGGCAAAUACAGAGAAGGGAUUUUUCCGACAGGCUCAGUUUGACAUUGCUGUUGCAAGUGAAAUCAUGGCAAUCUUAGCACUGACCACCAGCCUGGCAGACAUGAAAGAGAGACUGGGAAAAAUGGUGGUGGCUAAUGACAAAAAUGGACAACCAGUGACAGCUGAGGAUUUGGGAGUAACAGGUGCUUUGGCAGUUUUGAUGAAGGAUGCAAUUAAGCCAACACUAAUGCAGACUUUAGAGGGAACUCCAGUAUUUGUGCAUGCUGGACCCUUUGCUAAUAUUGCACAUGGGAACUCUUCAGUUUUGGCAGACAAGAUUGCCCUGAAGCUGGUUGGAGAAGGAGGAUUUGUGGUAACUGAAGCUGGUUUUGGUGCUGACAUUGGGAUGGAGAAAUUCUUCAACAUCAAAUGCAGAGCAUCUGGCUUAGUUCCCAGCGUGGUUGUGCUUGUUGCUACAGUGAGGGCUUUGAAAAUGCAUGGAGGAGGGCCAAAUGUAACUGCUGGUGCCCCUCUUAAGAAAGAAUAUACAGAAGAGAAUCUCCAGCUGGUAGCUGACGGCUGUUGUAAUCUACAGAAGCAAAUUCAGAUUGCUCAACUCUUCGGAGUUCCUGUUGUAGUUGCUCUAAAUGUCUUCAAAACUGACUCCCAUGCUGAAGUUGAUUUAGUCUGUGAGAUUGCAAAACAGUCUGGAGCAUUUGAUGCAGUACCCUGCAAUCACUGGUCAGCUGGUGGUAGAGGAGCUGUGGAAUUGGCUCAGGCUGUGAGAAAAGCUGCCAGUCAGGAAAACAGCUUCAAAUAUCUGUACAACUUGGAGCUUCCUAUUAUUGAAAAAAUAAGAAUCAUUGCUCAGAAGGUUUAUGGAGCUGAGGAUAUAGAAUUGUCUCCUGAAGCUCAAUCUCAAAUCAGUCGUUACAGCAAACAGGGUUUUGGAAAUCUUCCAAUUUGUAUGGCAAAAACUCACCUGUCCCUCUCCCACCAGCCUGAGAGGAAAGGUGUUCCAACUGGCUUCAUUCUGCCUAUUAGUGAUGUGCGGGCCAGCAUCGGAGCUGGGUUCAUCUACCCAUUAGUAGGAACGAAGCUGCUGCCUUUAUCGCCAGCCCCAUAAAUUCUGUUGUGAACAGCUUCUGACAUCACAUGGCAUGAGCUAUUACUAGUCAUGUAGCUGAAUCAUGGAAUGGUGCUAGAGAAGGGACACAGGCACUACUGCAUUUCCGGAGAACACUCGCCUGGCGUUAUCUCAUCUUCCCAGAACGCAGCAUGAUUUCCUUACAUGGCAGCACACCGGGGAAUGGCUGAGAGCAUCUAACUUAUUUUUUUAAAUUCCCUCUGAAACAUUCAAAUGUUGGAAGCAAGGAAGGAAGUCGUUCCUGAGAAGGAGAGGUCCUGGAGUUCAGGGAACUGGGUCAUUAGGACUCACUGGCCGUGGGGAUAUGCUUUCUAUGUACAUGACCAGGAUGAGCACCAUGCCAGGACUUCCUACAAGGCCUUGUUUCUAUGACAUUGACCUUGACCCAGACACAGAGCAAGUAAAAGGGUUGUUUUGAGAGAAGUGUCCAAGUUCAGAAUUCUGAAAAUACAAACUGCUACUUCACUAUUUCCUGCAAUAGGAGACGAGUGAAUUUGAAAUAUGCCUGUUAUGUGUCUCUGGAGAGAUAUCAAGAGAGACCAAAGAGAGAAAAUCUACACUUCUUUCUGCCCAUUUUUAUGACACACACAAAAAAAGUUUGUUACAAACUAAUUUAUUCUUGGUUUAGUGCAGAGAAAUCUUUUGCCAUGCUUACUAUUGCUUGCAUUUCAGAAUGUUUGUUUUAUCGAUAAUAUGGUGUGAACAGAAAGGUGAAAUUUUCCACUCCAGGAUUUUGUAUUCUUUAUUUGAGCUGCUAACAAAAGUAUUUCCUUCAUCAGUGGCCAUCUAAAAAAUUAACAUAAACAGGAUUACACUGCUUGAUAAAGCCUGUUGCUCUUGAAAAGUACAGUUCAGCUGCUGGCAUUCAGGAGCUGAAACCACACACAAAUUAGCUGCACAUUUCUGAGUUAUCAGCAAGUGUUGCUAUGGGCACUGCUGGGGAAGAGCCAAAUUUCAAAUGAGGGGACUGUUGAAGAAUAACAAGCAAGAGUUUUUUAAUACAGAAUUUGUUUCCUCUGAGGCCAAUCAGCUCUGAAAAACUUAAAACAUAGUAUGUCCAAUAGUCAUAGGUACUUUCAUCAGUCAAAGGCGCUUGUUACCAGUUUUACAGUGUUUUGGUCUAUUUUGUUCAGUAUCUUGACCAUAAAUCCCAAAUGUCAACAAGCUUUGUUUCUUUUUAAAAUCAGCUGUCUAAGGAGAAAGAAGGAAUGUCUGUCUUGUCAGUUUUUUGAAAAAUAUCAACCUCUAACCUUGUUUCCCAGUGGAGUGGGUUAUUGUCAUUAUUCUGGAGGGUUUUUCUUACAGUGCAAUAUUGAGGGUCUGGUGUUGCUUUACAGUCAGCAGGUGGUACUGCCAGUGAAAACUAACCAUUCUUUAUUUGGGGGUUGUGGUAUGCUGUUCCCAUGCUCCAGCCACCCUCUGUAGGGACAGUUGGGUGCUGUAGCAUGUUAAAAAUCAAAAUUGAGCAGUUCUUUUGACUUUCUUUGAGUGCCCAUUGAAUGAAUCACUGCUACAGUAAGGCAAACUUUCACACAGUACAUAUUUAACAGGUUACUUUUGAAUAUUUCUUUUCUCGUUUUUGCUGUUUAUUUUCCAAAUAUGUGCCUGAAAGAAAGGUCUUCCUCCUAGUGCACAUGCUCCUUUGACCUGAUUCAUUCAGUGAACUCCUUUGCACAAUAUUUUGGACAUUGAAAACACAUUAUUACAACACCACCUAGUAAAGUGGAGAACAGCCCAAAAUGUCAUGCUACUCAGAUAAUACAUUGUACACCAUCAACCAAGUCCACAUAAUUAUCAACCUAGAUGUAAGGGCCAGCUGCUAAAAUUGUCUGGUAUUUUAUGCAGAAGUAAUGCUCAUAUUUAAUACUUUAAUAUGGCCUCAUUUAGGUUUCCAGUAGCAAAAUGUUGACUCCAUCCAGUUAUUUCUGGGCACAAACAAAAGUCCUGAACCUCCAAAAGUCGCAUUAGUAAGCUCCAGCUGCUCUCUGUCACCCAAGAAUGCAUUGCACUAGGACUCCAUUCAUGCCAUGGAGGAUCUGGCUGAUAGGAAGCCUAAUAAACCAAUUCUUUUUAAUGAUUUGGUUCAUUUUCUCAGCACUUCUCUAUUUUGAUUAUUAUAUGCAAUUUAUAAUUUAAAAAAGAGAUGACGCCAGUUUUCUAAGCUCGUUUUCAAGAACUACAAGCUGGUACAGCUUGGUUUUCAAAAAGGAAGGCACACAAUGAGAAAAACAAGCUGUCUAUGUGAUGAGGUGGUUACAAUGAUGGGGUUGGGUGCUAAACUAGGGUGCUGCACUUUUGGGGGUCCUUGAGUAAUUUCAGGCAUACGGUUGGUUAUGGCUUUCUCCUACUAGGCUGUUUUUUCUAUAUAGUGUGUAUCCUGUAUGUGGUGAACAGGAUACAUAUGUGUAGUCUCAAAAACAGAGCAUUUUUGAAACCAUGGCGCUUUCAUAUGACACAGAAUUUUGGGCCUCUCAAGAUCAUGUUUUCCAUUUUUAACCAUCAUACUUAACAUAUAAAACUGAGUGUGCCUCAUAGCUGAAUUGGAUAUUCAUUUAAACAAGUAUUCAGCAGAUUGCUGAGUAGAAUCUCACGCAGUAUGCUUUUAGACCACCACAGUAACUGACUCUUCUUUCUUUGGACUUUUUUCUGACAGCAAUCCAGAAUAAAAUAGAGGCUUCUGAAAAUACACAGAAUAUUGUAUUUUCAAGCUUUUGAAGUGCUCCUUCUCAGGAAAUGCUCAUGGACUGGUUCCUUCAAUAAAAGAGCAACAAAACAAUGGGGUCUGGAGAGACACUAUAUCAUUGUCCUUUUAAGUGAAAACAGUGAAAUAAUGACCUGAAAUAGUUUAUUUCCCAAGUGACAUCCUCCAGUGGUGCUCCACCCAGCUUACUCAUGUCUAUAUAUGUUAUAGGCUUGAACAAUGUCUCUUUGGUCCUGUUUACAUCGCUACUCCCACCAUGUUUGGGGACUCCAUUACAUCACACGGUUCUCUAACCAGUUUUUGUAAAGAGUUUAGUCUUGCAGGGAUUGAACCUUGUUUCAACUGUGUACCUUAACUGUGCCAGAGCCUUGGACGCUAGUGAGACAGCAGCACGGACUGGGGGCACAGUAGAAAUAAUGCUCCUUCCAGAAACAUAUUUUAAGUAUGAGGACUACUGUGUUGUAACUCGGACAUCUAGCAUGGAGUUACAGUAAAGAUGGGACUCUAAUGGUUCCAAAGCAUUUGACAUGUUCUGUUAACAAGGUUCACUUCACAAAUUUAGCUUAUGCCAGGCUAGACUCUGGGCCGUCUGUGAUUAUACCAUACCAGCUACAAUGAUGUAUAAACAAACCUGUUACUAGCAAGAUUUGAGCCCAGUUUUCCAGACAAUUGUGGGCAGAGAUUUUUGGUCUAAGAGAUUUUAUUAAACUGUGCCUUAGGCUCAAUCUACGCUAUGUUUAUACCUAUAUUGUAGUCUAAUCCCACAACUCAUUUGUAUUUGUCAUGUAGAUAGGCUCAAACACCACCUGGGAGAAAAAUAUAAAUCUACACUUGGGGGGUUUCCUCGAAUGGUUGUCAGAAAAAGUGUCUAUUCCACACUGCUUAAAGAAACUUCUAGCAACAGCCAUGUUCUACCACAGGGCUUCUACUACAGCUAACUCAGUUCUGACCUCAGUGCAGUGCGGAUUCUAAGCACUCCUGGUUUUGAAGCAUCCACUGCUAUUGACCAGUGAACGCUGCAUGAGGAAUGUGAGGCUCUCAGAGUGAUAGGAUUUAACAAACCAUUCCAAACUCCCAUUUUAUAUACACAUGGCUCCCCAUAGCAUAUGUUCCAGGUAAAUAUUUUUAAUUUAGACUAUACUGUCUUUCCUCCCUGAACAAUAUUUCUGGUACUUAUUUCUCUUACUGCAGCACAAGAGUCAGUGAAGAUAGUCAGGAGUUAAUGAGGUGCGUGUGAUUUCUUGACAGUCAUCUGGGUAGAGGAUUUUUUUUUUAAUGCUACAAUGUUCUGAUGUAUUCAUCACCAAGAAAUCUUUGAGCCAUUUCAAUCUCUUUCAUUAUUUCCCAGGUUUGCUUUUCCCUACUCAAAUAUCUGCAGAAAUCUUUUGAACUAACCAAUUUCAGCUUCUUCACCUAUUUAUCCUUUCAAGUUUUAGGGUGAGAUGUUCUAAAGCACUCAGCACUGCCAUCGUUCUGGUCCCAUUGACAUCAAUGGCAGUUUUACCAUUGAGUGGGAGCAGAUUUAAGCCAUCACUGAGCUCUUCUGAAAAUCCUGCCCUCAGUGUGUUAUUUUUUCCUUUCAUUUGCUUUAUUUAGAAUGCCUUCUAGGUUAUUUAUUCUUAAAAGUGGAAAAAAGUAUUAUGAGUAUCAUUAUUUAUAUAGUGUUGUAGGUGUUACUGGUGCUUUGUGGACUUAUAGGAAGAUAAGGUCCCUUACCUGAGGACUUUUCAUACCACUGAGGAUAGCACAGAUGCUAACAGAUCGUGGUUGGGGAGGAAAUGUAAGAGAAAGGAUUGAAGUUACAGAAGAGAAGGCAGUGAAUAUUGCUUAUUUUAGAGAAUCUAAUUGUUACGAAAUAUUACAAGUGACCUGUAUACUAUGCCUGCAAAUUGCAAAGUAUUGUGGAAUGUCAGAAGCUUUUAAAACCCACUUCAUGCUGAGGUAUGAGUGGUCAUGAACAUAUUGCUAUAAAAGGUUUGGAAUCCUUUCGCAUUGCGUAGUAUAUAGCAAUAUUUGUGAAGGCUGCAGCUCUUCAUAAAAACUGCAGCAGUCUCAAGAGAUAAAUCCUGAAAAAUAUCCUGGGUGAAGAGAGGAAAUCAAGCAAUGAUAUACUUUUAUAGAGCCUUUUUUGGAAGAUUUCGAAGGAGUUUGCAAAAGUGGGUAGCCAGUAGUAUUCCUAGGAAGAAAGGGAGUACUAGUGGCACCUUAGAGACUAACCAAUUUAUUUGAGCAUAAGCUUUUGUGAGCUACAGCUCACUUCAUCGGAUGCAGUGAGCUGUAGCUCACGAAAGCUUACGCUCACAUAAAUUGGUUAGUCUCUAAGGUGCCACUAGUACUCCUUUUCUUUUUGCGAAUACAGAAUAACACGGCUGCUACUCUGAAACCUAGUUUUCCUAGGUUACUGGUUUGCAAUAUGCGGCACAGAGAAGCAACAUUAUGUGCUUGGUCACAGUGAGUCAGUUGCAGAGCUAGGAAUAGAAUCCAGGUGACCUGACUCCCUGCUCUGGGCUGUAACGCCAGACCAGUUUUAGGACAUGUUCCAUAAUCACAAUUAUGGGAAAAGACGUGAACUAUUUUUCUUUGCUUCUUAUUUUUUAUGUUAGGAGCCACAUGGCAAUUUCUGUAUGAUCAUUUAUAUCCAUAGAUCUGCUUUUUUUGUACUUAAUACUUAGUUGCUACCACUGGAGUAAAAACCUGACUGCACAGAAAUAUGUUCAAGCUACUUAAAAGUUUUGUUGUCUUUUUUUGUAUUUCAAAAUCCAAAACUCAGUAGUGUGUACAUUAAAAAAAAAUAAAGUAUAUACCUUCUUAUGGAUACCGA
Molecule: non-coding RNA, 8525 nt
Organism: Caretta caretta (loggerhead turtle)
Lineage: Eukaryota; Metazoa; Chordata; Testudines; Cheloniidae
Source: RefSeq, a predicted model, not a curated record